RNAcentral lists this ribosomal RNA (253 nucleotides) under uncultured bacterium. RNAcentral describes it as "partial 16S ribosomal RNA". It matches the Rfam family "Archaeal small subunit ribosomal RNA", at positions 474 to 727 of the family's 1478-position model. The record is from RNAcentral.
UACCAGCACCCCGAGUGGUCGGGACGUUUAUUGGGCCUAAAGCAUCCGUAGCCGGUUCUACAAGUCUUCCGUUAAAUCCAACUGCUUAACAGGUGGGCUGCGGAAGAUACUAUAGAGCUAGGAGGCGGGAGAGGCAAGCGGUACUCGAUGGGUAGGGGUAAAAUCCGUUGAUCCAUUGAAGAACACCAGUGGCGAAGGCGGCUUGCCAGAACGCGCUCGACGGUGAGGGAUGAAAGCUGGGGGAGCAAACCGG